This 486-nucleotide ribosomal RNA is filed under the name uncultured bacterium. RNAcentral's name for it is "partial 16S ribosomal RNA". It matches the Rfam family "Bacterial small subunit ribosomal RNA", at positions 30 to 507 of the family's 1533-position model. The record is from RNAcentral.
AUUGAACGCUGGCGGCAUGCCUUACACAUGCAAGUCGAACGGCAGCACGGGUGCUUGCACCUGGUGGCGAGUGGCGCACGGGUGAGUAAUACAUCGGAACAUGUCCUGUAGUGGGGGAUAGCCCGGCGAAAGCCGGAUUAAUACCGCAUACGAUCUACGGGUGAAAGCGGGGGCCCUUCGGGCCUCGCGCUAUAGGGUUGGCCGAUGGCUGAUUAGCUAGUUGGUGGGGUAAAGGCCUACCAAGGCGACGAUCAGUAGCUGGUCUGAGAGGACGACCAGCCACACUGGGACUGAGACACGGCCCAGACUCCUACGGGAGGCAGCAGUGGGGAAUUUUGGACAAUGGGCGAAAGCCUGAUCCAGCGAUGCCGCGUGUGUGAAGAAGGCCUUCGGGUUGUAAAGCACUUUUGUCCGGAAAGAAAUCCUUGGCCCUAAUACGGUCGGGGGAUGACGGUACCGGAAGAAUAAGCACCGGCUAACUACGUG